RNAcentral lists this ribosomal RNA (253 nucleotides) under uncultured bacterium. RNAcentral describes it as "partial 16S ribosomal RNA". It matches the Rfam family "Bacterial small subunit ribosomal RNA", at positions 524 to 776 of the family's 1533-position model. The record is from RNAcentral.
UACGAAGGGGGCUAGCGUUGCUCGGAUUUACUGGGCGUAAAGGGCGCGUAGGCGGUUCGUACAGUCAGACGUGAAAUUCCUGGGCUCAACCUGGGGGCUGCGUUUGAUACGUGCGGACUUGAGUGCGGAAGAGGGUCGUGGAAUUCCCAGUGUAGAGGUGAAAUUCGUAGAUAUUGGGAAGAACACCGGUGGCGAAGGCGGCCAUCUGGACCACAACUGACGCUGAGGCGCGAAAGCGUGGGGAGCAAACAGG